GUCUUGACAUCCUUUGGAAAUCUUAGAGAUUAGAGUUUUCCUUUGGGGGCAAAGGUACAAGUGGUGCAUGGUUGUUGUCAGGUUGUGUUGUGAGAUGGUGGGUUAAGUUCCGCAACGAGCGCAACCCUUUAUUUUAGUUGCCAACCAUAAAUUGGGCCAUCUUAGGAGGCUGCCGGUGACCAACCGGAGGAAGGUGGGGAUGGCGUCAAAUCCUCCUGCCCCUUAUGACCUGGGGUUCCCCCGUGGUUCCAUGGGCGGUACAAAGAGGUGCCAAAGCGGGGGGGUGAGGUAAUUUUUUAAAACCAUUUUCCGUUUGGAUUGUUGGGUGCCACUUGCCUACCUGAAGUCGGAAUCGGUUGUUAUCGCGGAUCCGCCUGGCGCGGUUGAUUAGGUUCCGGGCCUUGGUCCCCCCCCCCGUCCCCCCCUGGGGAUUUUAACCACCAGAGUUGGUUGGGUUACCUUUUUGGAGCCAGCCGCCUAAGGUGGACAGAUGAUGGGG
Molecule: ribosomal RNA, 499 nt
Filed under: Bacillus cereus
Lineage: Bacteria; Bacillati; Bacillota; Bacilli; Caryophanales; Bacillaceae
Description: partial 16S ribosomal RNA
Rfam family: Bacterial small subunit ribosomal RNA
Source: RNAcentral